This 30-nucleotide transfer RNA is filed under the name Urosaurus nigricauda. RNAcentral's name for it is "partial tRNA-Lys". The record is from RNAcentral. Lineage: Eukaryota; Metazoa; Chordata; Lepidosauria; Squamata; Phrynosomatidae.
AGAGAAGGGGAAAUAAUUCCCCCUCAGUGA